CAGCCGUAAACUAUGCGCGUUAGGUGUACUGGUGACCACGAGUCACCGGGGUGCCGAAGGGAAACCGUGAAACGUGCCGCCUGGGAAGUACGGUCGCAAGGCUGAAACUUAAAGGAAUUGGCAGGGGAGCACCACAACGGGUGGAGCCUGCGGUUUAAUUGGAUUCAACACCGGAAAACUCACCAGGGGAGACUGUUACAUGAAACCCAGACUAAUGAUCUUGGUUGAUUUUCAGAGAGGAGGUGCAUGGCGUCAGUGACUGU
This 263-nucleotide ribosomal RNA is filed under the name uncultured archaeon. RNAcentral's name for it is "partial 16S ribosomal RNA". It matches the Rfam family "Archaeal small subunit ribosomal RNA", at positions 748 to 1010 of the family's 1478-position model. The record is from RNAcentral.